Molecule: long non-coding RNA, 2579 nt
Filed under: Fukomys damarensis (Damara mole-rat)
Lineage: Eukaryota; Metazoa; Chordata; Mammalia; Rodentia; Bathyergidae
Description: lncRNA (ENSFDAG00000023195.1)
Source: RNAcentral
GAUCUGUAUUUGUUAACUCAUUUAUCACCAAAGACCAAAAGAAAAGUGAAGAAAUACAAAAGACCAUUUCAGAAGAUGAGGACGAUAUUAGAGUUUUACAAGAAAAGAAUAGAGAGCUGAAAACACUUGUACUUAUCAUUGAGAGUAAACUUAAAAGGGAAAAGGAGGAGAAAGACAAACUGUACUUCUCAUUGAGAGUAAACUUAAAAGGGCAAAGGAGGAGAAAGACAAAUCAGAUGAACAGAUUGUUUGUUUGCAACAGCAACUUUCCUGUUCUGAAGAACUGCAACAGCAACUUUCCUGUUCUGAAGAAAAGAGUUUAACUUUAAGUAGAAAGGUCCAACAAAUGAAGGCAAAUUGUGACAGCAUAUAAUUGCUGAAGUAAGUGUGCAGAAAAAUAUAAAACAAGAACCGGAAGAAAAGAUCAUGAAAUUGUCAGAGAAGAUAGAAGUUGCUACAAGAAACAUCACAAGCAAAUUUUCACAAAUAAAAUUAAUACAAACAAAAAUAGAUGAACUGCGUUCACUUGAUUCAGUUUCUCAGAUCUCAAACAUAGAUUUACUCAAGCUCAAGACUCAGUCAAAUGGUCUAGAGGAAGAGAAUUUGCCAGACAUACAGUUAAACCUUUCAAGUAAUAAUUUUUUGGCAAGUAAGCAGGUUAAAGAAUAUCAUAUUCAAGAACUCAGUAGGGAGAGUUCUUUCUACUCUAGUAUUGAAGCCAUUUGGGAAGCAUGUAAAGAAAUGGUGAAGGCCUCCUCCAAAAAAAGUCAUAAGAUCCAGGAACUACAACAACAAAUUGAAAAAUUACAGGCGGAAAUAAAAGGUUAUAGGGAUGAAAAGUGUGUACUAAAAGUAAAGCACAGAGGGCUUGAGAAUCAAGAUGACCUACAAAAAGAAAGAGAAAAUCUUAUACAGCAGCUGAAAGAAGAACGGCAAGAGAAAAAUGCUAAUCUUAAUGUUCAAGGACAGCUUGUAGUUGAAGGAAAGAAAGCACUUUCAGAGCUGACACAAGAUGCUAUUUGUUAUAAGGCAAAAAUAAAGGAACGUGAAAGAACCCUAGAGACUCAGAAAGAAGAGUGUAGUCAUUUAGCUAAGUUAGAGCAAGACAUUUUGGUAAAAGAAUCCGUCAUCUUAAAGCCAGAAGAAAAUCUGAAGGAAUUUCAAGCAAAUCUUAAUGAUUCUAUCAAAAACACCACAGAUUUAAAUGAAAAGGAAGUUAAGUUGAAAGAAGAAAUCACACAGUUAACAAGUAAUUUACAGGAUCUGAAGCAUUCACUUCAAUUAAAGGAAGAGGAAAAAGAAGCCAACAGGCAAGAAACAGAAAAUGUUUUAUGUUUUUUAGAUUGAAGGAGGAACUCUCUGAAAGCUCUGCUGUCACCCAAAAUCUGAAAGCAGAUCUUGGGAGAAAAGAAGAAGAUUAUGCUGAGCUGAACGAGAAACCGACUGAUGCCAAAAAGCAAAUCGAGCAAGUACAGAAAUCGGUAGGUUAUGUGAAAAGUUGUGUGGCCCUUCUCAGAUGGGAAAGAUCAUUUCUCUUGUCUAGAAAGUUUAGGUGCUAAUUUUAGAUCUGACCAGAGCAUUUAUCAACUUUGUAAUAUUUCUUGAUGAGAAUAGUUAUUUUAUAAAAGAAAAUUGAGCCAGCACAAGCAAACUGGAGAAAGCCAACCUCAAGAAAAAUAUGUGCCUUAUGUGGGAUUAGAAUAUUUCUGUGUCUGUUUUUUUGUUUGUUUGUUUGGUUGGUUGGUUGUUCUUCCUGGGUAUUGAACUGAGUGCCUUUACCCUGAGCUAGAUCCCCUAACCCUGUUUAUUUUUAUUAUGAGACAAGGUUUUCCUAAGUUGCUGAGGAUGGGCUCCAAUUUGAGAUCCUCCUGCCUCAGUCUCCCAGAGUGCUAAGAUUACAAGUGUGUCUAGCAUGCCUGUUUCUUUGUUUAUUGUUUUAUAAGUCCUGCUCAAUUCAAAUUCUUCAAAAAAAAUAAAAGGUUAGCUUCUGUUGGAAGAUAGUAUUUAGGACAAUCUGCAGUAUGACUAAUUAUUUGUUUUUGAGACAAGAUCUUGCUAAGUAGUACAUGUUAGGCUUGAACUAUGUAGCCAGGCUGGCAUUUAUCUUGCAGCAUUUCUCCUGCUUCAGGCUUUGGAGUGCUGGCUAAGUUUUUAUUAAAUUUAAUAUCUCCAAAUUUGCAAUGUACAAAGUUGUAUUUAGGGAGACAGAAAUCCUUCCCACUUUUCCCAGCCAUUACACAUUCCUCUUAGGCAUCAUAUGUUACUACUUUUUUUCUCUAUACUUCUCCCUUCCUUCCUCUAUGGUGUGCAGCUUCCUGGACUGCGUGACAACAACAGACCGAGCAAGGAGGACAAGACCCAGGAGGCGGUUGUUUUGGCUGCCUAACUGCCUGCCUGAGAUCACGCGGCAGGCGGGCGCCCUCCCGGAAGACUGCUCCACAACAACAGAUGGAGCAAGGAGGAAAACACCGUCUUUUCAGCUUCCUGUUUAAGACUUAAGGAACCAGAGAGACUCCAUGUUGACCACCAAAUGACCUAGAGACUGUCGCUCUCCCCCAUCCCUUAUAGGAUAACUAAUG